UGGGGAAUUUUCCGCAAUGGGCGCAAGCCUGACGGAGCAAGACCGCGUGGGGGAAGAAGGCUCUUGGGUUGUAAACUCCUUUUCUCUGGGAAGAACAAAAUGACGGUACCAGAGGAAUCAGCAUCGGCUAACUCCGUGCCAGCAGCCGCGGUAAGACGGAGGAUGCAAGCGUUAUCCGGAAUGAUUGGGCGUAAAGCGUCCGCAGGUGGCAGUUCAAGUCUGCUGUCAAAGACCGGGGCUUAACUUCGGAAAGGCAGUGGAAACUGAACAGCUAGAGUAUGGUAGGGGCAAAGGGAAUUCCUGGUGUAGCGGUGAAAUGCGUAGAGAUCAGGAAGAACAUCGGUGGCGAAGGCGCUUUGCUGGGCCAUAACUGACACUCAGGGACGAAAGCUAGGGGAGCGAAUGGGAUUAGAUACCCCAGUAGUCCUAGCCGUAAACGAUGGAUACUAGGUGUUGUCUGUAUCGACCCGGACA
RNAcentral lists this ribosomal RNA (474 nucleotides) under uncultured cyanobacterium. Its description in RNAcentral is "bacterial SSU rRNA". It matches the Rfam family "Bacterial small subunit ribosomal RNA", at positions 355 to 842 of the family's 1533-position model. The record is from RNAcentral. Lineage: Bacteria; Bacillati; Cyanobacteriota.